UUAGGCGUGUGACUGCGUACCUUUUGUAUAAUGGGUCAGCGACUUAUAUUCUGUAGCAAGGUUAACCGAAUAGGGGAGCCGAAGGGAAACCGAGUCUUAACUGGGCGUUAAGUUGCAGGGUAUAGACCCGAAACCCGGUGAUCUAGCCAUGGGCAGGUUGAAGGUUGGGUAACACUAACUGGAGGACCGAACCGACUAAUGUUGAAAAAUUAGCGGAUGACUUGUGGCUGGGGGUGAAAGGCCAAUCAAACCGGGAGAUAGCUGGUUCUCCCCGAAAGCUAUUUAGGUAGCGCCUCGUGAAUUCAUCUCCGGGGGUAGAGCACUGUUUCGGCAAGGGGGUCAUCCCGACUUACCAACCCGAUGCAAACUGCGAAUACCGGAGAAUGUUAUCACGGGAGACACACGGCGGGUGCUAACGUCCGUCGUGAAGAGGGAAACAACCCAGACCGCCAGCUAAGGUCCCAAAGUCAUGGUUAAGUGGGAAACGAUGUGGGAAGGCCCAGACAGCCAGGAUGUUGGCUUAGAAGCAGCCAUCAUUUAAAG
This 543-nucleotide ribosomal RNA is filed under the name Escherichia coli. RNAcentral's name for it is "partial 23S ribosomal RNA". It matches the Rfam family "Bacterial large subunit ribosomal RNA", at positions 585 to 1128 of the family's 2925-position model. The record is from RNAcentral. Lineage: Bacteria; Pseudomonadati; Pseudomonadota; Gammaproteobacteria; Enterobacterales; Enterobacteriaceae.